Long non-coding RNA from Daphnia pulicaria, 1197 nucleotides. RefSeq lists it as uncharacterized. Lineage: Eukaryota; Metazoa; Arthropoda; Branchiopoda; Diplostraca; Daphniidae. The record is from RefSeq and is a predicted model, not a curated record. The transcript is spliced from 6 exons.
GAGACUACGCAACUAAGUAUGUUACCCCAAACUACGUCACCGAGGCUUCAGCUUAUUACACCACCAAAGCUGUCGAAUACUACACAGGAGCGCCCAAGUACGAUAGAAAUUAGUCGAGUGAGCUUCUCCGACACCCAACACGGCAGCCCCGAAGAUUCGAAUAAACUUCGCUUCAAACAGUGGAACGGCAAACAGUGAAGAAUUCUACUGCAAUCGCGUCGAAUUGAAUAGCAAAGAUAACACAUUUGUACGUAUACACAGCACCGUUAAACUUGACAUGGUUGAUCGGAAAGCAAAACUUAAUGAUGGCGGUACCAUCACCUACGACGAAUGCGUGAUUGCCACAGGUGUUAAACGAAAACCUUUUCCAAUCUCUGAGCGGUGCCCUUAAAGAUGUCCACGAGCACGUAGCGCUGUUCCGCAACAUCGAUGGCGGUAACAUAGGUCGAGUUCUCCGUUCUCCUAAAUAUUUGAGCCAAUGGACAACCGAGAAGGUGAAAGCUGAAGGUGUUAAUGGCUUGCGCAAAGCUAAUGUGGAGGGUGCAAUUUUCGAAGACUACAAGGUCGCAUUGACCUUAAACAAUGGUCAAAAGCAGAUUUAAACUGACCAUGUCGUCGCUGCUGUCGGUUGGGACGUAAACACGGAUUUGACUGUUGCUUUUGGUGUGGAAAUAGAGGAGAGGACAUUUUGGUGGUUAUUGAGUGAAUACCGAGCUUGAAGCACGAUCGAACGUUUGGUUGACUGGAGAUGUUACGUUCUUUUGUGAUAUCAAAUUGGGUCGCUGUCGUAUGGAACAUGAUCACCAUGCUGUUGUAUCAGGGCAAUUGGCUGGAGAGAACAAUACUGGCAAAGAAACAUGGAUGAAAAACUCCAGUGUACUGUUACCGAGCGCAUUCUUCGUAUUAUCGGUUGAUGUGAGGUCGUGAUGUUGCCGUUUGCCGUAUCGUUGAAGGCUGGGUCGAUCACUGGUGUACCGAUGUCUCCUGGGUAUGGCGGACACCAAAGCACCACGCCACCGCCUUACUACACAACGACAACAUUCGCAAAAACCGGUUACUACACUGAGGCACAAUAUUACUACACCACCAAGGCUCCAGAGUAUUAUACCGCAGCUGAUGCUGCCCCGAGUUACAUCAUCAAACGUACUACACCGAGGCUCUAAAGUACUAAAACCACCAAGGCUCUAAAGUACUAAA